Molecule: transfer RNA, 72 nt
Filed under: Cordylochernes scorpioides
Lineage: Eukaryota; Metazoa; Arthropoda; Arachnida; Pseudoscorpiones; Chernetidae
Description: tRNA-Phe
Rfam family: tRNA
About the family: Transfer RNA (tRNA) molecules are approximately 80 nucleotides in length. Their secondary structure includes four short double-helical elements and three loops (D, anti-codon, and T loops).
Source: RNAcentral
GCCGAAAUAGAUCAGUUGGGAGAGCGUUAGACUGAAGAUCUAAAGGUCCCUGGUCGAUCCCGGGUUUCGGCA